Molecule: unclassified non-coding RNA, 254 nt
Rfam family: Eukaryotic small subunit ribosomal RNA (bases 1-46)
AAGUCGUAACAAGGUUUCCGUAGGUGAACCUGCGGAAGGAUCAUUAUCGAGUUAGGGUCAGCGUGGCCCGACCUCCAACCCUCUGUUUAAACACCACGUUGCUUUGGCGGGCCCGCCUCGCGGCCGCCGGAGGCCCUCGGGCCUCUGGCCAGCGCCCGCCAAUGGCCACACCUACAAACUCUGGACAAAGCCGUGACGUUCUUAGUUGAUUUAUAAUGACCUAAAAACUUUCAACAACGGAUCUCUUGGUUCUG